CCACCCUUCCCCACCAUGGUGGCCUUGCUAUACAUGUGGUUCGGCAUCUCCCUGCCGCUGGUCUGCUUGGGCUAUUACUUCGGCUUCCGCAAGCAGCCGUAUGACAACCCAGUGCGCACCAACCAGAUUCCCCGGCAGAUCCCCGAACAGCGGUGGUACAUGAACCGAUUUGUGGGCAUCCUCCUGGCCGGGAUCCUGCCCUUUGGUGCCAUGUUCAUCGAACUCUUCUUCGUCUUCAGUACCAUCUGGGAGAAUCAGUUCUACCUUUUUGGCUUCCUGUUCCUUGUUUUCAUCUUCUUGUGGUGUCCUGCUCACAGAUCAGCAUUGUCAUGCUGUACUUCCAGCUGUGUGCAGAGGACUACCGCUGGUGGUGGAGGAAUUCCUGGUCUCCGGGGGAUCUGCAUUCUACAUUCUGGUCUACGCCAUCUUCUACUUCGUCAACAAGCUGGACAUCGUUGAGUUCAUCCCCUCUCUCCUGUACUUUGGCUACACGGCCCUCAUGGUUCCCUGCUGGCUGCUCACGGGCACCAUUGGCUUCUAUGCGACCUACAUGUUUGUCCGCAAGAUAUAUGCCGCUGUGAAGAUUGACUGAUUGGGGUGGACCAUGGCCAGGCCCACUCCGUCCUCGGACAGGAAGCCACCCUGCGUGGGAAACUGCAGGCACGCGAAAUAAAGUAACUCCUGCUCGU
This is an RNA transcript of Ochotona princeps (American pika), 689 nucleotides long. It is a transcript of the gene named transmembrane 9 superfamily member 4-like, with no coding region annotated. The record is from RefSeq and is a predicted model, not a curated record. NCBI's taxonomy places the organism in Eukaryota, Metazoa, Chordata, Mammalia, Lagomorpha, Ochotonidae. The transcript has a single exon.